Molecule: transfer RNA, 72 nt
Filed under: Ovis aries (sheep)
Lineage: Eukaryota; Metazoa; Chordata; Mammalia; Artiodactyla; Bovidae
Rfam family: tRNA
About the family: Transfer RNA (tRNA) molecules are approximately 80 nucleotides in length.
Source: Rfam by way of RNAcentral
UCACUGGUGUCUUAGCAGUAAAGAAUCUGCCUGCAGUGCAGGAAACCCUGGGUUCAAUCCCUGGGUUGGGAA